Long non-coding RNA from Oncorhynchus tshawytscha (Chinook salmon), 616 nucleotides. Lineage: Eukaryota; Metazoa; Chordata; Actinopteri; Salmoniformes; Salmonidae. The record is from Ensembl.
GUGCCGUACUGCUGGAUGAUAACUGUGCGGAUGUGGACCCACUUAGUGUUUGAUCAGUGAGGAGGAAGGUGAGAGCUGCAUUCCUGACCUGUGGAGGUGAGGUCCAUGGGAGGAAAGAUCUGCUGCUCGAUUGAUGAAUCCAUCUGAAGUCCCGAACGCUGUGCCAAAACCACAAGUGAAACAGAGUCACAUGAGGUGGAAUGAACAUUGAGGCUUCGUCACAGGCCACAAUGACUCAGACUUAGAGGACCCACUUACUUCCACACUCACCAAUUUACCCACCCGCUAGCUCUGAGACAAACACUCAUUCUUCUCCAUACUCACAGCUAUUUCUGCACAUUCUGAGAACUUGGUUUACCGCUUCUCAAAAGUGCCACGUGUUGUACAGCAGAAGAAAGUGAAUCUUGUUUUUGAUGAGGAUACAGGUUUAUCCCGUUCCCACACGUGAAGAGUGAGAACAACAUGAAUAUGGUAUUGGAACAGAGCCAAUAUCGGGCCUUUUUAAGCUCUUAAAGGGAAAAAAUAGCCCGUGUGGUCAACCGAACUGCAAAUUUUUGCCUGGUGUGGUUUACUGUAGUCAUCACAAUUCUGUGGUGGCAAAUGUAGUAGUUUUUCC